This 2611-nucleotide ribosomal RNA is filed under the name Drosophila serrata. Its description in RNAcentral is "eukaryotic LSU rRNA". It matches the Rfam family "Eukaryotic large subunit ribosomal RNA", at positions 929 to 3211 of the family's 3401-position model. Lineage: Eukaryota; Metazoa; Arthropoda; Insecta; Diptera; Drosophilidae. The record is from RNAcentral.
GACCAAUCGAACCAUCUAGUAGCUGGUUCCUUCCGAAGUUUCCCUCAGGAUAGCUGGUGCAUUUUAAUGUUAUAUAAAUAAUCUUAUCUGGUAAAGCGAAUGAUUAGAGGCCUUAGGGUCGAAACGAUCUUAACCUAUUCUCAAACUUUAAAUGGGUAAGAACCUUAACUUUCUUGAUAUGAAGUUUAAGGUUAUGAUAUAAUGUGCCCAGUGGGCCACUUUUGGUAAGCAGAACUGGCGCUGUGGGAUGAACCAAACGUAAUGUUACGGUGCCCAAAUUAACAACUCAUGCAGAUACCAUGAAAGGCGUUGGUUGCUUAAAACAGCAGGACGGUGAUCAUGGAAGUCGAAAUCCGCUAAGGAGUGUGUAACAACUCACCUGCCGAAGCAACUAGCCCUUAAAAUGGAUGGCGCUUAAGUUGUAUACCUAUACAUUACCGCUAAAGUAGAUGAUUUAUAUUACUUGUAAUAUAAAUUUUGAACUUUAGUGAGUAGGAAGGUACAAUGGUAUGCGUAGAAGUGUUUGGCGUAAGCCUGCAUGGAGCUGCCAUUGGUACAGAUCUUGGUGGUAGUAGCAAAUAAUCGAAUGAGACCUUGGAGGACUGAAGUGGAGAAGGGUUUCGUGUGAACAGUGGUUGAUCACGAGUUAGUCGGUCCUAAGUUCAAGGCGAAAGCCGAAAAUUUUCAAGUAAUAAAAUGACUAUAUAUUACAAAAAUGCCAAUUAAUAUACUUGAAUAAUUUUGAACGAAAGGGAAUACGGUUCCAAUUCCGUAACCUGUUGAGUAUCCGUUUGUUAUUAAAUAUGGGCCUCGUGCUCAUCCUGGCAACAGGAACGACCAUAAAGAAGCCGUCGAGAGAUAUCGGAAGAGUUUUCUUUUCUGUUUUAUAGCCGUACUACCAUGGAAGUCUUUCGCAGAGAGAUAUGGUAGAUGGGCUAGAAGAGCAUGACAUAUACUGUUGUGUCGAUAUUUUCUCCUCGGACCUUGAAAAUUUAUGGUGGGGAUACGCAAACUUCUCAACAGGCCGUACCAAUAUCCGCAGCUGGUCUCCAAGGUGAAGAGUCUCUAGUCGAUAGAAUAAUGUAGGUAAGGGAAGUCGGCAAAUUAGAUCCGUAACUUCGGGAUAAGGAUUGGCUCUGAAGAUUGAGAUAGUCGGGCUUGAUUGGGAAACAAUAACAUGGUUUAUGUGCUCGUUCUGGGUAAAUAGAGUUUCUAUCAUUUAUGUUAGUUGCUUGUUCCCCGGAUAGUUUAGUUACGUAGCCAAUUGUGGAACUUUCUUGCUAAAAUUUUUAAGAAUACUAGUUGGGUCAAACCAAUUAGUUCUUAUUAAUUAUAACGAUUAUCAAUUAACAAUCAAUUCAGAACUGGCACGGACUUGGGGAAUCCGACUGUCUAAUUAAAACAAAGCAUUGUGAUGGCCCUAGCGGGUGUUGACACAAUGUGAUUUCUGCCCAGUGCUCUGAAUGUCAAAGUGAAGAAAUUCAAGUAAGCGCGGGUCAACGGCGGGAGUAACUAUGACUCUCUUAAGGUAGCCAAAUGCCUCGUCAUCUAAUUAGUGACGCGCAUGAAUGGAUUAACGAGAUUCCUACUGUCCCUAUCUACUAUCUAGCGAAACCACAGCCAAGGGAACGGGCUUGGAAUAAUUAGCGGGGAAAGAAGACCCUUUUGAGCUUGACUCUAAUCUGGCAGUGUAAGGAGACAUAAGAGGUGUAGAAUAAGUGGGAGAUAUUAGACUUCGGUUUGGUAUCGACAAUGAAAUACCACUACUCUUAUUGUUUCCUUACUUACUUGAUUAAAUGGAACGUGUAUCAUUUCCUAGCCAUUAUACGGAUAUAUUUAUUAUAUCUUAUGGUAUUGGGUUUUGAUGCAAGCUUCUUGAUCAAAGUAUCACGAGUUUGUUAUAUAAUCGCAAACAAAUUCUUUAAUGAGACGAUGCAUUUAUGUAUUUUUGAUUUGAAAAUUUGGUAUAACUCCAAUUACUCAGGUAUGAUCCAAUUCAAGGACAUUGCCAGGUAGGGAGUUUGACUGGGGCGGUACAUCUCUCAAAUAAUAACGGAGGUGUCCCAAGGCCAGCUCAGUGCGGACAGAAACCACACAUAGAGCAAAAGGGCAAAUGCUGACUUGAUCUCGGUGUUCAGUACACACAGGGACAGCAAAAGCUCGGCCUAUCGAUCCUUUUGGUUUAAAGAGUUUUUAACAAGAGGUGUCAGAAAAGUUACCAUAGGGAUAACUGGCUUGUGGCGGCCAAGCGUUCAUAGCGACGUCGCUUUUUGAUCCUUCGAUGUCGGCUCUUCCUAUCAUUGUGAAGCAAAAUUCACCAAGCGUUGGAUUGUUCACCCAUGCAAGGGAACGUGAGCUGGGUUUAGACCGUCGUGAGACAGGUUAGUUUUACCCUACUAAUGACAAACGUUGUUGCGACAGCAUUCCUGCGUAGUACGAGAGGAACCGCAGGUACGGACCAAUGGCACAAUACUUGUUCGAGCGAACAGUGGUAUGACGCUACGUCCGUUGGAUUAUGCCUGAACGCCUCUAAGGUCGUAUCCGUGCUGGACUGCAAUGAUAAAUAAGGGGCAAUUUGCAUUGUAUGGCUUCUAAACCAUUUAAAGUUUGU